AAGGACCAACAGGGAUUGCCUCAGUAACUGCGAGUGAAGCGGCAAAAGCUCAAAUUUGAAAUCUGGCGUCCUCUGGGCGUCCGAGUUGUAAUUUGGAGGAGCGUCUUCGGGAGCGGCACUGUCCUAAGUUCUUUGGAACAGGACGUCAUAGAGGGUGAGAAUCCCGUGCCUGGGCGGUUGCCCGUUCCCAUGUGAAGUGCUUCCGACGAGUCGAGUUGUUUGGGAAUGCAGCUCAAAAUGGGUGGUAAAUUUCAUCUAAAGCUAAAUAUUGGCGAGAGACCGAUAGCGCACAAGUAGAGUGAUCGAAAGAUGAAAAGCACUUUGAAAAGAGAGUUAAAAAGUACGUGAAAUUGUUGAAAGGGAAGCGCUUGAGAUCAAACUCGGCCUUUGGUGAUCCACUGGGCUUCUGUCCGGUGAAACUUUGCCAUUGGCCGGGCCAGCGUCGGUUCUGACGGUGGGAAAAACGGCCGGGGAAUGUGGCUCCUCUCGGGGAGUGUUAUAGACCUGGCCUUAGAUACCGCCAGUUGGGACCGAGGACCGCGCUUCGGCUAGGAUGCUGGCGUAAUGGUCUUAAGCGACCCGUCUUGAAACACGGACCAAGGAGUCUAACAUCUAUGCGAGUGUUCGGGUGG
This 632-nucleotide ribosomal RNA is filed under the name uncultured fungus. RNAcentral's name for it is "LSU rRNA". It matches the Rfam family "Eukaryotic large subunit ribosomal RNA", at positions 56 to 701 of the family's 3401-position model. The record is from RNAcentral. Lineage: Eukaryota; Fungi.